This 2515-nucleotide small RNA is filed under the name Pongo abelii (Sumatran orangutan). RNAcentral describes it as "retained intron". The record is from RNAcentral. Lineage: Eukaryota; Metazoa; Chordata; Mammalia; Primates; Hominidae.
UUUAAAGGGAACUGGAGGGAAACACAUCAGCAUGUUAGUAAGUGGUCUGUUGUCCAGGUGGUGGAAUUUCAGACGAUUUUCAUUUUUCGUGCCUGUGUCUCAGGUCCUCUGGAAGACAGACACCAGGGUGGCAUUGGAGGUGCAGGAGGUUUAUUCGAGGAAAUGCCCGUGAGAGAGGAAGGAGAGAGGGAGCAGGAGGAGGCAGGGAGAGCCUGGGUCUGGCUUUGCAGGUUGGACCCGUAUGAGUGGAGAGGGUAGGAAGGAAGUGCAGUGCUGAGAAAGGAUCCGCCAGGCUGACUGGAAGGCCCAGAGCAGAGCUUGCCAGAUGAGGAACCCCAUGUCCAUUGGAAAUGGCCCAGCACUGGGGUCUGCUGUGAGAGCAUGGCCUGGGUGUGGAGGCUGUCAGCUCAACUGCGGUGCUCGCAGAGGGCCGCACGAUACCCCUCCCUGGCUGCAUGGUCCCUGUCUUUGUGUGUGCUGAGUCUGCAUCACUUUGUAAAGCCCCACUCUUCUGCCCAGGUACCAAGGAAAGGCAGAUGCCCCCGUGGCCUUGGUGGUUCACAUGGCCCCAGAAUCUGUGCUGGUGGACAGCAGGUACCAGCAGUGGAUGGAGAGGUUUGGGCCUGACACCCAGCACUUGGUCCUGAAUGAGAACUGUGCCUCAGUUCACAACCUUCGCAGCCACAAGAUUCAAACCCAGCUCAACCUCAUCCACCCGGACAUCUUCCCCCUGCUCACCAGUUUCCCCUGGAGGUCCCCACCCUCAGUGUGCCCGUGGUUCAGGGUGAAUGCCUCCUCAAGUACCAGCUCCGUCCCAGGAGGGAGUGGCAGAGGGAUGCCAUUAUUACUUGCAAUCCUGAGGAAUUCAUAGUUGAGGCGCUGCAGCUUCCCAACUUCGAGCAGAGCGUGCAGGAGUACAGGAGGAGUGCGCAGGACGGCCCAGCCCUAGCAGAGAAAAGAAGUCAGUACCCAGAAAUCAUCUUCCUUGGAACAGGGUCUGCCAUCCCGAUGAAGAUUCGAAAUGUCAGUGCCACACUUGUCAACAUAAGCCCCAACACGUCUCUGCUACUGGACUGUGGUGAGGGCACGUUUGGGCAGCUGUGCCGUCAUUACGGAGACCAGGUGGACAGAGUCCUGGGCACCCUGGCUGCUGUGUUUGUGUCCCACCUGCACGCAGAUCACCACACGGGCUUGCUAAAUAUCUUGCUGCAGAGAGAACGAGCCUUGGCAUCUUUGGGAAAGCCACUUCACCCUUUGCUGGUGAUUGCCCCCAGCCAGCUCAAAGCCUGGCUCCAGCAGUACCACAACCAGUGCCAGGAGGUCCUGCACCACAUCAGUAUGAUUCCUGCCAAAUGCCUUCAGGAAGGGGCUGAGAUCUCCAGUCUUGCAGUGGAAAGAUUGAUCAGUUCGCUGUUGGGAACAUGUGAUUUGGAAGGGGUAAGGGGCACAGCUGCAGGCAUCGUGGGGGCGAGGUGGGGAGCAGAGCUGCAGAGCCCUCCAGCCCCGCCCUUUUAGUUUCAGACCUGUCUGGUGCGGCACUGCAAGCAUGCGUUUGGCUGUGCGCUGGUGCACACCUCUGGCUGGAAAGUGGUCUAUUCCGGGGACACCAUGCCCUGCGAGGCUCUGGUCCGGAUGGGGAAAGAUGCCACCCUCCUGAUACAUGAAGCCACCCUGGAAGAUGGUUUGGAAGAGGAAGCAGUGGAAAAGACACACAGCACAACGUCCCAGGCCAUCAGCGUGGGGAUGCGGAUGAACGCAGAGUUCAUCAUGCUGAACCACUUCAGCCAGCGCUACGCCAAGGUCCCCCUCUUCAGCCCCAACUUCAACGAGAAAGUGGGAGUUGCCUUUGACCACAUGAAGGUCUGCUUUGGAGACUUUCCAACAAUGCCCAAGCUGAUUCCCCCACUGAAAGCCCUGUUUGCUGGCGACAUCGAGGAGAUGGAGGAGCGCAGGGAGAAGCGGGAGCUGCGGCAGGUGCGGGCGGCCCUCCUGUCCAGGGAGCUGGCAGGCAGCCUGGAGGAUGGGGAGCCUCAGCAGAAACAGGCCCACACAGAGGAGCCACAGGCCAAGAAGGUCAGAGCCCAGUGAAGAUCUGGGAGACCCUGAACUCUGAAGGCUGUGUGUCUUCUGCCCCACGCACGCACCCGUAUCUGCCCUCCUUGCUGGUAGAAGCUGAAGAGCACGGUCCCCCAGGAGGCAGCUCAGGAUAGGUGGUAUGGAGCUGUGCCAAGGCUUGGGCUCCCAGAUAAGCACUAGUCUAUAGAUGCCUCUUAGGACUGGUGCCUGGCACAGCCGCGGGACAGGAGGCUGCCACACGGAAGCAAGCAGAUGAACUAAUUUUAUUUCAAGGCAGUUUUUAAAAAGAAGUCAUGGAAACAGACGGCAGCACCUUUCCUCUAAUCUAGCAAAGAGAUUCCCUGCACGCCAGAGACAAGCAGAGUAACAGGAUCACUGGGUCUAAGUGUCUGAGACUCAAUGAAAAUAGUAUUUCAGCUGCAAUAAAGAUUGAGUUUGC